UCAUCAUCUAGUCAUCCCCUAAAGUCAAUUUCCAUCAUAAGGGAGCAGCAGACCACAAGGUACUUUACCUUGCUUGGUCACAAGUCUCCAUCCCCAGGCAUCCCAGAGAAAGAGAACUGAUGAACUCUGAGUGCACAUUAAAGCAUACUUAAAAAAAAAAUAAAGCUGUUACUUGGUGAAAAUCAUUUGCACUCACACUGUGGAUCACGACCAAGUUAAAAAGGAAAUGGAUUUCAUUUUUGGGUGAGAAACCUUUGUAUUCUACCUCUCCUUGGCUGACACUGAUUGAGAAGGGAUCACCAAAGAGCCUCUGCACAGUACUGAGGAGCACAAAGUUAACCUGCACAGUGCCAAUGAGCACAAGGUCAAAGAGACCAACCAAUCCUGUUGGGAUUGAUGAGAUUCUGUUCUAAGACAUGGGACUUGAACUUGUUUGAGGUUCAAGGUUAUGGCUGUUUGACAUGUCAGAUGCAGGUCUUCUCUGUGUCACGUACUGAAGUUUGGCUAUUAUCCUGGCUCCCCUAUCCCUGAGAGAAAAGGCAUCCAAGAUUUUAGGAGUGCUCCAAUAUGUGAUUGCCAUUGAAAAUACAGAAGACAACAGGAGUGGAGUUCAGAGUAAUAAAGGACCUAGAAGAAUUUAGCUGCACGAAGAAUCUUACUUCAUCUGUUUUUCUGCUCUUGUUCUGCCUUGUAUUUAAACACAAUAAGACAUGACUCACACCAAACAAACCUGUUUCACCUCAUCUCACCAGCAACUCAUCUUCUGAAACCACAAAGAAAAUGCAGGUUGGAAGCUCUAGAAUGUUAAUAGGACCUGUCACCUCCUAGGGCAACAAACAAUCCUAUAAAUGAAAGACUUCCAGGUUAUGAGGGGGAAAAACACCUAAACUCAUUGCUCAUAGUUCAAAACUUCCGCCUUCCAUCAGAAGAUAAACACUUGUUUUACAAAUAAAAAUAAGCUUUGAUGUUCCUUAGGGGGGAAAAUAUAAACCAAUAUGAAGACA
Monodelphis domestica (gray short-tailed opossum) is the source of this 1004-nucleotide long non-coding RNA. RefSeq lists it as uncharacterized. NCBI's taxonomy places the organism in Eukaryota, Metazoa, Chordata, Mammalia, Didelphimorphia, Didelphidae. The record is from RefSeq and is a predicted model, not a curated record.